CCAUCAGUAAGAAUCCUCCAAUCUUUUGAAGAAGCAAUAAUGGCUCUCUGGCUGAACCUCGUGUCCUUGUUACUUGUCCUCAAAGGUGUCCAAUCUGAGCUCCAGUUGGUGGAGUCCGGAGGGGAUGUGAGAAGACCUGGGGAGUCCCUCCGUAUCUCCUGCCAAGCCUCUGGAUUCACCUUCAGUGGCUAUUUCAUGGGCUGGGUGAGACAGGCUCCUGGGAAAGGACUGGAAUGGGUGGCAAAUACAUGGUCUUCAUAUAUUAACUACUCUGACAAAGUCAAGGGCCGCUUCACCAUCUCCAGGGAUGAUGCCAAAAGCCAGCUGUAUCUGCAAAUGAACAGCCUUAAACCAGAGGACACAGCAGUCUAUUACAAUGUGAGAGACACAGUGAGAGGAAAGUGGAAUAAACUACUAUUCCAGCUCAACAAGAAGUAA
Molecule: non-coding RNA, 438 nt
Organism: Thamnophis elegans (Western terrestrial garter snake)
Lineage: Eukaryota; Metazoa; Chordata; Lepidosauria; Squamata; Natricidae
Source: the annotation of a RefSeq genome assembly